AGUGCAGGUCAUAGGAUGAGGAAAGGGAGGAAGGUAGGGUCGAAGAGGCAGAAUCAGGAGACAGCAGGAUUCAGCAGAAGGGAGAGAUGAUAGGAUAGAAGAGGAGAGAGUGUGAAGAUUCCGAAGGCGUAUGACCAUAUGGGUAGGGGCUGAGAGGUUAAGGUUGGAGGAGAGGGAGACAAAAAAGGAAACAAAGUUGUGAUCAAAGACCUGGAGGGGGGUUGAAGUGAGACUAGUGGGCGAGCAGCCUCUAGUAAAGAUGACGUCAAGUGUACUGCCUGCCUUGUGAGUUGGAGGGGAUUGGGAAAGGGUGAGGUCAAAAGCGGCAAGGAGAGAAGGCGUGGAUCUGAGCCUGUUCCAGUGAAAACAGGACAUCCUUCUCGUCUGACUCAUUAAAGGGAAAAGUUUAUUCCAGUCCGCAGUCACUUGUAGAGCGAGAGAGAGGGGUGUGGUCAAUGUUCCAUGGCGUCCUCCUCCUCAUCGUCACUACUGGUCUUCAUCCAGGGCAGGGUCUGUUUCCCUUCCUCCCCCUCUGUCUCAUCCCCUAGUUCCACCAGAAGCUACUCUAUGUGCUCCAGAAUGGGUCCGUCAUCACAGCGCAACUUCACAUACAGCUGGAGAGAGAGACACACACACAGAAAUAAACAUUUGUCACAUACAUACACGUUACCAAAUGCCUCUUUCCUGGUGUAUUGGACUCAGUGAAAUACGCUGUGUAAACUUCUGACCCACUGGGAAUGUAAUGAAAGAAAUAAAAGCUGAAAUAAA
Oncorhynchus keta (chum salmon) is the source of this 768-nucleotide long non-coding RNA. RefSeq lists it as uncharacterized. The record is from RefSeq and is a predicted model, not a curated record. The transcript has 3 exons. Lineage: Eukaryota; Metazoa; Chordata; Actinopteri; Salmoniformes; Salmonidae.